UUGGAACUGGGCGUCAUAGAGGGUGAUAACCCCGUUUUCAGACCAAUCCAUCCGUCCAUGUGAAGCCCUUUCGACGAGUCGAGUUGUUUGGGAAUGCAGCUCAAAAUGGGUGGUAGACUUCAUCUAAAGCUAAAUAUCAGCCAGAGACCGAUAGCGCACAAGUAGAGUGAUCGAAAGAUGAAAAGCACUUUGAAAAGAGAGUGAAACAGCACGUGAAAUUGUUGAAAGGGAAGCGCUAGCAACCAGACUUGUUUGCAGUGUUCAGCCUACCGAAAGGUCGGUGUACUCGCUGCUUGCAGGCCAGCAUCGGUUUCGACGGUUGGACAAAAACUCAUGGCAAGUAGCUUGUCUCGGCAAGUGUUAUAGCCCGAGUAUCAUGCAACCAGUUGAGACCGAGGAAUGCGCUUUGCGAGGAUGUUGGCAUAAUGGUUGUUAGCGACCCGUCUUGAAACACGGACCAAGGAGUCGACCAAUCAAGCGAGCGUUAGGGUGUAAAACCCACAGCGCGUAAUGAAAGUAAACGUAGGUGGGAAGCCGUAUGGCAGCACCAUCGACCGAUCCAAGUUCGCGAGGAUUUGAGUAUGAGUUUUAUUGGUCGGACCCGAAAGAAGGUGAACUAUUCCCGGAUAGGUUGAAGUCAGGUGAAAACCUGAUGGAAGACCGCAGCGGUUCUGACGUGCAAAUCGAUCGUCAAAUCUAGGAAUAGGGGCGAAAGACUAAUCGAACCUUCUAGUAGCUGGUUCCUGUCGAAGUUUCCCUCAGGAUAGCAGUGACGAAUAACAGUCUCAUGAGGUAGAGCAACGAUUAGAGGCCUUGGGGUUGAAACAACCUUAACCUAUUCUCGAACUCCGAAUAUGUGAGAAGUCCUUGUUACUUAAUUGAACGUGGACAUUGGAUG
This 898-nucleotide ribosomal RNA is filed under the name Thelotrema monosporum. RNAcentral describes it as "eukaryotic LSU rRNA". It matches the Rfam family "Eukaryotic large subunit ribosomal RNA", at positions 190 to 1114 of the family's 3401-position model. The record is from RNAcentral. Lineage: Eukaryota; Fungi; Ascomycota; Lecanoromycetes; Ostropales; Graphidaceae.